UAAACGUUCGGGUGCAACACGCAGAAGUCUAAAGUCAAAACCAUAAACCCUUUGCAUCGCGCUGUUACCGUUCUUACGAUCCUCUUCAUAAAUGGCUUCAGCGUGCAGCAGAAUCGCGCAAAGAGCUUCUUCAUUUUCUUCCAUAAAAUCAACCAUCAAAUCCACUCUUCGCUCUUCAUCCUUCUCCAACACCGCCACCACUACUUCUCCUCUUCGCCGAUCCAUUUUAACUAGGGUUGCUCCGGAACUGAGAUGCGCGCAGUCGAUGCUGCCACUGCAUAGUGCGGUUGCGACGGCGAGGAUGGCGUCAUGCCUGAGAACAACAUCUCGGAGCUGCCGAGCGCUAUCACAGGGUACUCUCUGCUGCACCUCUCCCGGCCUCUAAUACUUACUUUUUCCUCCAUAAAAAUUCUUCAACUGCACAUAGUUAAUUGGGAGCUUGCGGGACCAGUCACUUUUGACCUACUGCCUCAUUACCAAAUGAAAUUGAUGGGACGUGAGACAUGCAUGCUGUUCUUAAGGUGGGAUAUUUUUCUUUGUUGUCCGAAGUGUUUGGAGAAUAAUAGAUAAUAGUCACCUCAUAAUUUGUGUCUAGUGUCUAUGCAUGUUUUUGAAUAAAAUUGUACAAACUCCAUUAGUAUGGAUUAAUGGAUCUUAGAUCUUCCAGUUGUCAUAGGAAUUUUAUGUUGUUUUUCACUCUUUGGCUCUUUGUUUUAUGUAAGCAUUCUUUAUUUUCUGAGUCCCAAGAAACAAACAAAAGGUUACAGUAUAGAUUUGGAGAAUCCAAUAGCGUAUUCAUGAAGAAUAUUGCCUAAGCCAUCUAGCAUAGAAUCAUCAUUUAAACUAUCACUUAAAUUCGAUUUGGAAUCUACUUUGGUAUCAAA
RNA transcript from Arachis duranensis, 884 nucleotides. It is a transcript of the gene named protein NONRESPONDING TO OXYLIPINS 2, mitochondrial, with no coding region annotated. Lineage: Eukaryota; Viridiplantae; Streptophyta; Magnoliopsida; Fabales; Fabaceae. The record is from RefSeq and is a predicted model, not a curated record. The transcript is spliced from 4 exons.